This 128-nucleotide ribosomal RNA is filed under the name Branchiostoma floridae (Florida lancelet). The record is from RNAcentral. Lineage: Eukaryota; Metazoa; Chordata; Leptocardii; Amphioxiformes; Branchiostomatidae.
UGCUACGGCCGCGUGGCGCGUUGGUACACCCGAUCCCUCGAUCUCGGAAGUUAAGCAACGCGACGGUCCGGACAGUGGACAGUGCUUGGAUGGGAGACCAACCAAGGACGUCCGGAUUGCUGUAGCCU